GGAUUAGAUACCCUGGUAGUCUAUGCCGUAAACGAUGGGUACUAGUUGGUGCGGGUAUUGACCCCUGCGCUGACGAAGCUAACGUAUUAAGUACCCCGCCUGGGGAGUACGGCCGCAAGGCUAAAACUCAAAGGAAUUGACGGGGACCCGCACAAGCGGUGGAGCAUGUGGAUUAAUUCGACGCAACGCGCAGAACCUUACCUGGCCUUGACUUGUAUUUGUAUGCCUCCCAAAAGGGGCGGACCUUCGGGAACAUUUACACAGGUGCUGCAUGGCUGUCGUCAGCUCGUGCCG
Molecule: ribosomal RNA, 294 nt
Filed under: uncultured bacterium
Lineage: Bacteria
Description: partial 16S ribosomal RNA
Rfam family: Bacterial small subunit ribosomal RNA
Source: RNAcentral